AUGCAGACACGGGCCUGGCCACGGCCUGGCUCAGUCCUCACAGGAGGGUUUUGGCAGACCCUGGCCUGUUUGGGAGGAGGGAAGCAGCUGUAUGGACACUGCAGGACACAGCUCGGGGUGUUGGACUGGGAUUUAUUGCAAUUUUCCCUUCCUGUUCCUGCCCUUUGCCCAGCUCCUCUUCAGUUCUGGUGUCCAGGAUCAUUUCUGCCCACAUCCAUGAUUUCUGCUGGCACAGGAGGUCAUUCAGUCCUCAUCCCCUCCAGCCUUUUCCCCAUGAGGAGUGGAGCUGGAUUAGUUGGCACUGCCUGCCCUGAGCCCACCGAUGCUCCUCCGGGCAGGAGCAGGAUGUUCCUCUGGGCAGGAUUGGGAUGUUCCUCUGGGCAGGAGCGGGAUGUCCCUGCAGGCAGGAGCGGGAUGUCCCUGCAGGCAGGAGAUGGAUGUUCCUGCAGGCAGGAGCGGGAUGUUCCUCCAGGCAGGAGCGGGAUGUUCCUGCAGGCAGGAGAGGGAUGUCCCUCCAGGCAGGAGCGGGAUGUCCCUGCAGGCAGGAGCGGGAUGUUCCUGCAGGCAGGAGCGGGAUGUUCCUCCAGGCAGGAGAUGGAUGUUCCUGCAGGCAGGAGCGGGAUGUCCCUGCAGGCAGGAGCGGGAUGUUCCUGCAGGCAGGAGCGGGAUGUUCCUGCAGGCAGGAUUGGGAUGUUCCUCUGGGCAGGAGCGGGAUGUCCCUGCAGGCAGGAGCGGGAUGUCCCUGCAGGCAGGAGCGGGAUGUUCCUCCAGGCAGGAGAGGGAUGUUCCUGCAGGCAGGAGCGGGAUGUCCCUGCAGGCAGGAAUGGGAAGCUUUUCCAGGCAGGGGUGGGAUGUUCCUGCAGGCAGGGGUGGGAUGUUCCUGCAGGCAGGAGCGGGAAGCUCUUCCAGGCAGGAGCAGGGAGCAGAGCAGCCACGCCCCGUGCUCUGCCUCAGUCCAGCACCACUUCCCAACAGCAUCUCGGGGUUUUUCCCCUCUUUGUCUCCUCGCUGACCCCUGCUCAUCCCACUCAUCCCAAAACCUCCUCAAUUUACUCAGUUUUGAGCCUUUUUUCCCUCUCGUGCCACCCGUAGGGAACAGCCCCUUCCCUCCAAGCCAAAGGCUUCCCUCACUGUCCGGGUUCUCCAGGGCCCUUCCGAGAAGGUUGGGAUGAAGCUUCCAUGGGGGAGUUUUCCUUUCAGAGCCUUUCCCUCCACUCCUGCAAAGCCAGAAUCAGCACUGCCCAUUCCCCAGUGUUUUCCCACAGCUGCUUCAUUAUUUUAAUCCCACUGGGACCCCAGCUGCUCCCUUUGGUCCUGGCUGAAAGGUAGCACAGGACACCUCAGUCCAGGAGCACCAUUUCCUCCUAAAGUCGGGGCCAAAGUUUUCACUUUAUCCUGGGAUUAUCUAAACCCCAGGGAGUCUCGAAGCAGGGCUUUGAUUCCAACACUAUCCUAUAGAAUUCCAUUUUCCAGGAAAAAGGCAAAGUCUCUGAUGGCCUUUUUGUGACAGGUGGGUUGGGAAAAUCCCCACGUCACCUUUUUUUUGGCACAGUCCUCUAAAACCUUCACACAAACAAAAGGGUUCGAGGGAUUUUGAGCCAAAAAUACUCCAGAGUGGAGAAUCCCCUGAAGUGCUGAGGAAAUAUUUGGGUUUACACUGAGAUCAUUUAAAGGCGUUCCAGGUAAAGAGUAACAGCCAUUGACACGGGGACAUUCCAACUUUAACUGUUAUCUCCUGGGAAAAAAUGUCCACGGUAUUCAAAUAAUAAAAAGUAACCCUUAUUUUAAAAAACUAAUUCUGGGGAAAACUAGAGUUCGGCAGAGAAUUCUCUAUUGCAGAAUUUUAAAUACCCAACACACACAAAAACACCCGCAGCUAUAGACCAGCUGCAAAGCAUUUUAAAGUGAUCCGUGGAAUGAAAAUUUGAAAAAAAAUAAAUUAAAGGAAAUAAAAUAAAGGAAAUUUAAAGAAUAUUAAAAGAGGUAGCAUUUGGAAAUUUGGAUUAGAAGUGGCUGCUUCCACUGUAAGGGUUAUCCAAAGGAAAAUGCUGAUUUAUGUCCUGCUAAAGCUAAAAAUCUUUCCUGGGGUUAUCUUGGUCUCUUCUCUACCUGCAAACUGCUGAGUGACAGAAAGACAAAAAACAUUAGAAUUGUCUUUCUAAAAUGACCAGGGGUUUAUGUAACGCCUCUUUUACAUUCAUUUAAAAUUACCUUAUUUGAAAAAUUAGAAUUAUCUGAAUUAUUUUCUUGAGCUUCUCUGCCUUGCAUAUCAGUAUUUUGGAGAGGUGGUAUUUAGGUUUAUGUUGGGCUGUGAUUGUCACUGCAGCUCUCCCAGGUCGGCAGGGAGGACACAGGGCAGGGAAAAGGUGUCGGGUACUUCAGAGGAGGAGGGAAUUCAAUUCUUCACGGAAUCAUGGAAUCAUUUAGGUUGGGAAAGACCUUUAGGAUCAUCGAGUCCUACUGUGAUGCUGGGUAUAAGGACACACGUAGUUUAUCCUUGUAUGGAUAAGCUGAAGUCUUUCCGUGGAAUUAUUCAUGAAAUCAUGGAGUGGGUUGGGUUGGGUUGGGUUCGGAGGGACCUUAAAGCCCAUCCAAUUCCAGCCCCGGCCACCUCCCACUGUCCCGGGCUGCUCCAAGCCCCAAUGUCCAACCCGGCCUGGGACAUUGCCAGGGAUCCAGGGGCAGCCCCAGCUGCUCUGGGCACCCUGUGCCAGGCCUUCAGAGGAAGGAAUUUCUCCCGUACUUCCCACCUAAAUUUCCCCUCUUUACUCACCCAAGGAAUAUUUAUAUUUGUCCCUAGGAAAAAAAAAAAAAAACAUAAAACAAAACAACAAACCCUUUAAUUUCUGCCACGUCCUUCCCAGCUCUCCUGCCUUAAGCCCACCGCCGAGCCCGAGUUUGCGGAGCCGGAGAGGCUCAUCCCGGCGGGCGGGACCUGUUGCUGUCGCUGCCGUGUCCGUCCCCUCCCGUGUCCAUCCCCUCCCGUGUCCGUCCUCUCCCGUGUCGCUGUCGCCGCCGCUCGCCCCCCGCGCGGCCGGGCUGGCCCAGCCUCAUUAGCGCGUGCUGCUUAAUUGAGCCCCGUCCCCGCCAGCUGCCGCUCGCCAGCCUCAUCUGCGCACUAAGUGCUCCUAAUUGUCCCCAUCCGGCCGCAGCCCGGCCGGGAAGCGCCGUCCCGGGAGCGCGGAUCCCUCGGGAUCGGGAGUUUCCAGCGGGAAGCUGCCGGAGCUGCGACGCCCGGCCCGUGUCGCGCCCGAGGAGCGGCUCGGCGCGGCCGGCGGGGACAAUGAUUCCAGCAUAUGGGAUAGUUUGCAGCUCGUUAAUCCGCCAGCAAAUCCCACGGCAGGAUCCCGUCACCGGCAGGGCUGGACAGGACAAAGCCGGAGGAACGGGGAUGUCCCGGAGGGAUGCGCGGGGAGCGGACAGACCGAGCCGCGCUGGCUUUGACACGGCCGCGGUUUGGACAUCCGCGCUGCUGCUGCUGUCGGGGGUUUGUUCCCAGCAAACACCAAAGGGAUGCGCUCCUUAAUCUUGGAGUCGAAGGGAGAAUUCCCAGAUUUCCAGAGCUCUUAAACACGCAGCUUGUUCACACAUUGCAAGGCAGCUCCCUGUCCUGAGGAGAGGAGGUGUUAAAAAGGGGGAUUAAGUUUCAGGUAUUAAAUGGAAGUGGUCCUGAAAAAACCCAGAUAAAUAAACUGAUUAAAAAUGGUCAGUAAUGUCAGAGAAAAGCAGAUCAGCUGCAACAGUAAAUGAUGUCAAAAAGCAAAACAGGGCAAAAUUGAGGCGUUUUUCUGUGCACAACACAGCCAUGGCCAUGAUUGUAAAGGAGUUUUCCUUGGUAAGAAAUACGAGAAAUUCCCUGAUAUUCUCCGAAUGUGUUCUGGGGGUUUAUUUUUUUUAAAGAAUACACAGAUAUUGUAAAAAUGGGGCUAUUUCUGAGCUAAAUCUCCCCCAUCACAAUCCCACGACAUCCCUCCACCCAUCGGGAUCAAUUUCUUUCCCCAACGUGCCUGAGCUCAGGGUUUUCCCUGCUCCCUGCUCCAGGGUUCUCCACGGACACCCUGCGUUUUGGAAAACAAGGGAAUUCUCCCCCAAAACAGACGUUAAAGCGCUGGUGAGACAAUUGUUCCC
Molecule: long non-coding RNA, 4128 nt
Filed under: Corvus moneduloides (New Caledonian crow)
Lineage: Eukaryota; Metazoa; Chordata; Aves; Passeriformes; Corvidae
Description: lncRNA (ENSCMUG00000018099.1)
Source: RNAcentral